This 2726-nucleotide ribosomal RNA is filed under the name Escherichia coli. RNAcentral's name for it is "bacterial LSU rRNA". It matches the Rfam family "Bacterial large subunit ribosomal RNA". The record is from RNAcentral. Lineage: Bacteria; Pseudomonadati; Pseudomonadota; Gammaproteobacteria; Enterobacterales; Enterobacteriaceae.
GGGUUGUGAGGUUAAGCGACUAAGCGUACACGGUGGAUGCCCUGGCAGUCAGAGGCGAUGAAGGACGUGCUAAUCUGCGAUAAGCGUCGGUAAGGUGAUAUGAACCGUUAUAACCGGCGAUUUCCGAAUGGGGAAACCCAGUGUGAUUCGUCACACUAUCAUUAACUGAAUCCAUAGGUUAAUGAGGCGAACCGGGGGAACUGAAACAUCUAAGUACCCCGAGGAAAAGAAAUCAACCGAGAUUCCCCCAGUAGCGGCGAGCGAACGGGGAGCAGCCCAGAGCCUGAAUCAGUGUGUGUGUUAGUGGAAGCGUCUGGAAAGGCGCGCGAUACAGGGUGACAGCCCCGUACACAAAAAUGCACAUGCUGUGAGCUCGAUGAGUAGGGCGGGACACGUGGUAUCCUGUCUGAAUAUGGGGGGACCAUCCUCCAAGGCUAAAUACUCCUGACUGACCGAUAGUGAACCAGUACCGUGAGGGAAAGGCGAAAAGAACCCCGGCGAGGGGAGUGAAAAAGAACCUGAAACCGUGUACGUACAAGCAGUGGGAGCACGCUUAGGCGUGUGACUGCGUACCUUUUGUAUAAUGGGUCAGCGACUUAUAUUCUGUAGCAAGGUUAACCGAAUAGGGGAGCCGAAGGGAAACCGAGUCUUAACUGGGCGUUAAGUUGCAGGGUAUAGACCCGAAACCCGGUGAUCUAGCCAUGGGCAGGUUGAAGGUUGGGUAACACUAACUGGAGGACCGAACCGACUAAUGUUGAAAAAUUAGCGGAUGACUUGUGGCUGGGGGUGAAAGGCCAAUCAAACCGGGAGAUAGCUGGUUCUCCCCGAAAGCUAUUUAGGUAGCGCCUCGUGAAUUCAUCUCCGGGGGUAGAGCACUGUUUCGGCAAGGGGGUCAUCCCGACUUACCAACCCGAUGCAAACUGCGAAUACCGGAGAAUGUUAUCACGGGAGACACACGGCGGGUGCUAACGUCCGUCGUGAAGAGGGAAACAACCCAGACCGCCAGCUAAGGUCCCAAAGUCAUGGUUAAGUGGGAAACGAUGUGGGAAGGCCCAGACAGCCAGGAUGUUGGCUUAGAAGCAGCCAUCAUUUAAAGAAAGCGUAAUAGCUCACUGGUCGAGUCGGCCUGCGCGGAAGAUGUAACGGGGCUAAACCAUGCACCGAAGCUGCGGCAGCGACGCUUAUGCGUUGUUGGGUAGGGGAGCGUUCUGUAAGCCUGCGAAGGUGUGCUGUGAGGCAUGCUGGAGGUAUCAGAAGUGCGAAUGCUGACAUAAGUAACGAUAAAGCGGGUGAAAAGCCCGCUCGCCGGAAGACCAAGGGUUCCUGUCCAACGUUAAUCGGGGCAGGGUGAGUCGACCCCUAAGGCGAGGCCGAAAGGCGUAGUCGAUGGGAAACAGGUUAAUAUUCCUGUACUUGGUGUUACUGCGAAGGGGGGACGGAGAAGGCUAUGUUGGCCGGGCGACGGUUGUCCCGGUUUAAGCGUGUAGGCUGGUUUUCCAGGCAAAUCCGGAAAAUCAAGGCUGAGGCGUGAUGACGAGGCACUACGGUGCUGAAGCAACAAAUGCCCUGCUUCCAGGAAAAGCCUCUAAGCAUCAGGUAACAUCAAAUCGUACCCCAAACCGACACAGGUGGUCAGGUAGAGAAUACCAAGGCGCUUGAGAGAACUCGGGUGAAGGAACUAGGCAAAAUGGUGCCGUAACUUCGGGAGAAGGCACGCUGAUAUGUAGGUGAAGUCCCUCGCGGAUGGAGCUGAAAUCAGUCGAAGAUACCAGCUGGCUGCAACUGUUUAUUAAAAACACAGCACUGUGCAAACACGAAAGUGGACGUAUACGGUGUGACGCCUGCCCGGUGCCGGAAGGUUAAUUGAUGGGGUCAGCGCAAGCGAAGCUCUUGAUCGAAGCCCCGGUAAACGGCGGCCGUAACUAUAACGGUCCUAAGGUAGCGAAAUUCCUUGUCGGGUAAGUUCCGACCUGCACGAAUGGCGUAAUGAUGGCCAGGCUGUCUCCACCCGAGACUCAGUGAAAUUGAACUCGCUGUGAAGAUGCAGUGUACCCGCGGCAAGACGGAAAGACCCCGUGAACCUUUACUAUAGCUUGACACUGAACAUUGAGCCUUGAUGUGUAGGAUAGGUGGGAGGCUUUGAAGUGUGGACGCCAGUCUGCAUGGAGCCGACCUUGAAAUACCACCCUUUAAUGUUUGAUGUUCUAACGUGGACCCGUAAUCCGGGUUGCGGACAGUGUCUGGUGGGUAGUUUGACUGGGGCGGUCUCCUCCUAAAGAGUAACGGAGGAGCACGAAGGUUGGCUAAUCCUGGUCGGACAUCAGGAGGUUAGUGCAAUGGCAUAAGCCAGCUUGACUGCGAGCGUGACGGCGCGAGCAGGUGCGAAAGCAGGUCAUAGUGAUCCGGUGGUUCUGAAUGGAAGGGCCAUCGCUCAACGGAUAAAAGGUACUCCGGGGAUAACAGGCUGAUACCGCCCAAGAGUUCAUAUCGACGGCGGUGUUUGGCACCUCGAUGUCGGCUCAUCACAUCCUGGGGCUGAAGUAGGUCCCAAGGGUAUGGCUGUUCGCCAUUUAAAGUGGUACGCGAGCUGGGUUUAGAACGUCGUGAGACAGUUCGGUCCCUAUCUGCCGUGGGCGCUGGAGACUUGCGGGGGGCUGCUCCUAGUAAGAGAGGACCGGAGUGGACGCAUCACUGGUGUUCGGCUUGUCAUGCCAAUGGCACUGCCC